This 482-nucleotide ribosomal RNA is filed under the name Fusarium oxysporum f. sp. cubense. RNAcentral describes it as "eukaryotic LSU rRNA". The stretch from base 135 to 288 matches the Rfam family "5.8S ribosomal RNA". The record is from RNAcentral. Lineage: Eukaryota; Fungi; Ascomycota; Sordariomycetes; Hypocreales; Nectriaceae.
CUCUCCAACCCCUGUGACAUACCACUUGUUGCCUCGGCGGAUCAGCCCGCUCCCGGUAAAACGGGACGGCCCGCCGAGGACCCCUAAACUCUGUUUCUAUGUCUAACUUCUGAGUAAAACCAUAAAUAAAUCAAAACUUUCAACAACGGAUCUCUUGGUUCUGGCAUCGAUGAAGAACGCAGCAAAAUGCGAUAAGUAAUGUGAAUUGCAGAAUUCAGUGAAUCAUCGAAUCUUUGAACGCACAUUGCGCCCGCCAGUAUUCUGGCGGGCAUGCCUGUUCGAGCGUCAUUUCACCCCUCAAGCAAAGCUCGGUGUUGGGACUCGCGUUAAUUCGCGUUCCUCAAAUUGAUUGGCGGUCACGUCGAGCUUCCAUAGGGUAGUAGUAAAACCCUCGUUACUGGUAAUCGUCGCGGCCACUCCGUUAAACCCCCACUUCUUAAUGUUGACCUCGGAUCAGGUUUGAAUACCCGCUGAACUUAAGC